UUUGCUUGCCAAAAUAGUCAAACUUCAUUAGUUCUAGCAAUGAUUUUUAGGUUGCCUUCAUAUACAUAUCCCAUUUCAUUUUUUUGGGUAAUCGUUAUGUUUUUCUCCUGAUCACAGGGAGUCGACACUCUUUUCUCUGGUAUAUUUGGAACUUGGAGUGGAUCAUCUGUAUUUGUGUAUGGUUCUAGGAUUCUUGUACUUAAAGAUACUGUUGAGUUUAUAUAUUAACUAGUUUUCCCCAGCUGGCUUAUACCAUCCUUCAAAUUCUUCCAGUGAAAAUGCUGGUUUGUUAGCUUUGACACGUGUUGGCAGCUGAAGAGUUAUUCAGAUUUCAGCUGGAUUCAUGAUCUUCUUUUCUAUACUAGGAAAAUUUGGAGCUGUCUUUGCCUCAAUUCCAGCACCAAUCAUUGCGGCUUUGUAUUGCUUUUUCUUUGCCUAUGUUGGUUCAGCAGGUCUCAGCUUAUUUCAAUUUUGCAAUCUAAAUAGUUUUAGGAUGAAGUUUAUUAUAGGCUUCUCAAUUUUCAUAGGCUUUUCAAUCCCACAAUACUUCAAUGAGUAUAUUGUUGUUAAUGGUUAUGGUCCAAUGCACACUGGAGCAAGAUGGGUACCAAUCCUCUUUUCUCAAAUAUCUCACUUUUGCUUUAGUCCUCUCUGGGAAAGUAUUUAAUUAUCUCACAUUUCCUCCUUCAUAUGCAGUUCAAUGACAUGAUCAACGUACCGUUCUCGUCAGAACCGUUUAUUGCUGGUAUGUUGGCAAUUUUCCUUGACAUCACUCUGCAUAAGAAAGACAGUGCAACAAGGAAAGAUAGAGGCAUGCAUUGGUGGGAUAGGUUCCAGUCGUUUAAGACAGAUACAAGAAGUGAGGAAUUCUACCAUCUGCCUUUCAAUCUCAACAAGUUUUUCCCAUCA
This is a long non-coding RNA of Ziziphus jujuba (common jujube), 909 nucleotides long. RefSeq lists it as uncharacterized. The record is from RefSeq and is a predicted model, not a curated record. NCBI's taxonomy places the organism in Eukaryota, Viridiplantae, Streptophyta, Magnoliopsida, Rosales, Rhamnaceae. The transcript has 3 exons.